This 789-nucleotide ribosomal RNA is filed under the name uncultured archaeon. RNAcentral describes it as "bacterial SSU rRNA". It matches the Rfam family "Archaeal small subunit ribosomal RNA", at positions 88 to 879 of the family's 1478-position model. The record is from RNAcentral.
GCUCAGUAACACGUGGAGAACGUGCCCUUAAGUGGAGGAUAAUCUCGGGAAAUUGAGGAUAAUACUCCAUAGAUCAUGAGAUCUGGAAUGACUCAUGGUUCAAAGUUCCGGCGCUUAAGGAUCGCUCUGCGGCCUAUCAGGUAGUAGUGGGUGUAAAGUACCCCCUAGCCUACGACGGGUAUGGGCCUUGAGAGAGGGAGCCCAGAGUUGGAUUCUGAGACACGAAUCCAGGCCCUACGGGGCGCAGCAGUCGCGAAAACUUCACACUGGGGGGAACCCCGAUGAGGGAAAUCCUAGUGCUAGGACAUUUGUUCUAGCUUUUCUCAAGCGUAGAUAACUUGAGGAAUAAGGGCUGGGUAAGACGGGUGCCAGCCGCCGCGGUAAUACCUGCAGCCCAAGUGGUGGUCGAUUUUAUUGAGUCUAAAACGUUCGUAGCCGGUCCGGUAAAUCCCUGGGUAAAUCGGGAAGCUCAACUUCCCGAAUUCCGGGGAGACUGCCGGACUUGGGACCGGGAGAGGCUAGAGGUACUUCUGGGGUAGGGGUAAAAUCCUGUAAUCCUUGGAGGACCACCGGUGGCGAAGGCGUCUUACUAGAACGAAUCCGACGGUGAGGGACGAAGCCCUAGGUCGCAAACGGGAUUAGAUACCCCGGUAGUCCAGGGUGUAAACGCUGCAGACUUGGUGUUGGAGGCCCUUCGGGGGCAUUCAGUGCCGGAGAGAAGUUGUUAAGUCUGCUACUUGGGGAGUACGUCCGCAAGGAUGAAACUUAAAGGAAUUGGCGGGGGAGCAC